Molecule: ribosomal RNA, 2891 nt
Filed under: Pseudomonas aeruginosa
Lineage: Bacteria; Pseudomonadati; Pseudomonadota; Gammaproteobacteria; Pseudomonadales; Pseudomonadaceae
Description: 23S ribosomal RNA
Rfam family: Bacterial large subunit ribosomal RNA
Source: RNAcentral
GGUCAAGUGAAGAAGCGCAUACGGUGGAUGCCUUGGCAGUCAGAGGCGAUGAAAGACGUGGUAGCCUGCGAAAAGCUUCGGGGAGUCGGCAAACAGACUUUGAUCCGGAGAUCUCUGAAUGGGGGAACCCACCUAGGAUAACCUAGGUAUCUUGUACUGAAUCCAUAGGUGCAAGAGGCGAACCAGGGGAACUGAAACAUCUAAGUACCCUGAGGAAAAGAAAUCAAACGAGAUUCCCUUAGUAGUGGCGAGCGAACGGGGAUUAGCCCUUAAGCUUCAUUGAUUUUAGCGGAACGCUCUGGAAAGUGCGGCCAUAGUGGGUGAUAGCCCCGUACGCGAAAGGAUCUUUGAAGUGAAAUCGAGUAGGACGGAGCACGAGAAACUUUGUCUGAACAUGGGGGGACCAUCCUCCAAGGCUAAAUACUACUGACUGACCGAUAGUGAACCAGUACCGUGAGGGAAAGGCGAAAAGAACCCCGGAGAGGGGAGUGAAAUAGAACCUGAAACCGUAUGCGUACAAGCAGUGGGAGCCUACUUGUUAGGUGACUGCGUACCUUUUGUAUAAUGGGUCAGCGACUUAUAUUCAGUGGCAAGCUUAACCGUAUAGGGUAGGCGUAGCGAAAGCGAGUCUUAAUAGGGCGUUUAGUCGCUGGGUAUAGACCCGAAACCGGGCGAUCUAUCCAUGAGCAGGUUGAAGGUUAGGUAACACUGACUGGAGGACCGAACCCACUCCCGUUGAAAAGGUAGGGGAUGACUUGUGGAUCGGAGUGAAAGGCUAAUCAAGCUCGGAGAUAGCUGGUUCUCCUCGAAAGCUAUUUAGGUAGCGCCUCAUGUAUCACUCUGGGGGGUAGAGCACUGUUUCGGCUAGGGGGUCAUCCCGACUUACCAAACCGAUGCAAACUCCGAAUACCCAGAAGUGCCGAGCAUGGGAGACACACGGCGGGUGCUAACGUCCGUCGUGAAAAGGGAAACAACCCAGACCGCCAGCUAAGGUCCCAAAGUUGUGGUUAAGUGGUAAACGAUGUGGGAAGGCUUAGACAGCUAGGAGGUUGGCUUAGAAGCAGCCAUCCUUUAAAGAAAGCGUAAUAGCUCACUAGUCGAGUCGGCCUGCGCGGAAGAUGUAACGGGGCUCAAACCACACACCGAAGCUGCGGGUGUCACGUAAGUGACGCGGUAGAGGAGCGUUCUGUAAGCCUGUGAAGGUGAGUUGAGAAGCUUGCUGGAGGUAUCAGAAGUGCGAAUGCUGACAUGAGUAACGACAAUGGGUGUGAAAAACACCCACGCCGAAAGACCAAGGGUUCCUGCGCAACGUUAAUCGACGCAGGGUUAGUCGGUUCCUAAGGCGAGGCUGAAAAGCGUAGUCGAUGGGAAACAGGUUAAUAUUCCUGUACUUCUGGUUACUGCGAUGGAGGGACGGAGAAGGCUAGGCCAGCUUGGCGUUGGUUGUCCAAGUUUAAGGUGGUAGGCUGAAAUCUUAGGUAAAUCCGGGGUUUCAAGGCCGAGAGCUGAUGACGAGUCGUCUUUUAGAUGACGAAGUGGUUGAUGCCAUGCUUCCAAGAAAAGCUUCUAAGCUUCAGGUAACCAGGAACCGUACCCCAAACCGACACAGGUGGUCGGGUAGAGAAUACCAAGGCGCUUGAGAGAACUCGGGUGAAGGAACUAGGCAAAAUGGCACCGUAACUUCGGGAGAAGGUGCGCCGGCUAGGGUGAAGGAUUUACUCCGUAAGCUCUGGCUGGUCGAAGAUACCAGGCCGCUGCGACUGUUUAUUAAAAACACAGCACUCUGCAAACACGAAAGUGGACGUAUAGGGUGUGACGCCUGCCCGGUGCCGGAAGGUUAAUUGAUGGGGUUAGCGCAAGCGAAGCUCUUGAUCGAAGCCCCGGUAAACGGCGGCCGUAACUAUAACGGUCCUAAGGUAGCGAAAUUCCUUGUCGGGUAAGUUCCGACCUGCACGAAUGGCGUAACGAUGGCGGCGCUGUCUCCACCCGAGACUCAGUGAAAUUGAAAUCGCUGUGAAGAUGCAGUGUAUCCGCGGCUAGACGGAAAGACCCCGUGAACCUUUACUGUAGCUUUGCACUGGACUUUGAGCCUGCUUGUGUAGGAUAGGUGGGAGGCUUUGAAGCGUGGACGCCAGUUCGCGUGGAGCCAUCCUUGAAAUACCACCCUGGCAUGCUUGAGGUUCUAACUCUGGUCCGUGAUCCGGAUCGAGGACAGUGUAUGGUGGGCAGUUUGACUGGGGCGGUCUCCUCCUAAAGAGUAACGGAGGAGUACGAAGGUGCGCUCAGACCGGUCGGAAAUCGGUCGCAGAGUAUAAAGGCAAAAGCGCGCUUGACUGCGAGACAGACACGUCGAGCAGGUACGAAAGUAGGUCUUAGUGAUCCGGUGGUUCUGUAUGGAAGGGCCAUCGCUCAACGGAUAAAAGGUACUCCGGGGAUAACAGGCUGAUACCGCCCAAGAGUUCAUAUCGACGGCGGUGUUUGGCACCUCGAUGUCGGCUCAUCACAUCCUGGGGCUGAAGCCGGUCCCAAGGGUAUGGCUGUUCGCCAUUUAAAGUGGUACGCGAGCUGGGUUUAGAACGUCGUGAGACAGUUCGGUCCCUAUCUGCCGUGGACGUUUGAGAUUUGAGAGGGGCUGCUCCUAGUACGAGAGGACCGGAGUGGACGAACCUCUGGUGUUCCGGUUGUCACGCCAGUGGCAUUGCCGGGUAGCUAUGUUCGGAAAAGAUAACCGCUGAAAGCAUCUAAGCGGGAAACUUGCCUCAAGAUGAGAUCUCACUGGGAACUUGAUUCCCCUGAAGGGCCGUCGAAGACUACGACGUUGAUAGGCUGGGUGUGUAAGCGUUGUGAGGCGUUGAGCUAACCAGUACUAAUUGCCCGUGAGGCUUGACCAU